RNAcentral lists this long non-coding RNA (578 nucleotides) under Homo sapiens (human). RNAcentral's name for it is "non-protein coding lnc-RNASE12-1:1". Lineage: Eukaryota; Metazoa; Chordata; Mammalia; Primates; Hominidae. The record is from RNAcentral.
AGCUUUCGCCGGCCGCGCGCACGGCGGUCGGUACCUGUUAAGGACGAGAUGCCUUCCGACCACCGGAUAACUCGGGACGGUCCCUGAUUUGCCUGCUCCCUGUCCAACAGCAUCUUCGGCUCACUCGGAAGUGAAAACAUGCAAUUUCAUGUUAUAACAUGCAAUUUCAUGUCAUAAAUUAUUCCCACUGACGCCUGAACAUUUUUCCUAAAAGGGAUCUGCAGUCACAAGGCGCCGCCUUCCGGAAUUUAGCAGUCAAAGCCAAAGAUGCGAAGUCACUCUUACCUCUGAUGAUAAUAAUGGUGAUAAUUUUCUUGGUGCUUCUGUUCUGGGAAAAUGAGGUGAAUGAUGAAGCAGUGAUGUCAACUUUAGAACACUUGCAUGUGGACUACCCUCAGAAUGACGUUCCCGUUCCUGCAAGAAGAGAUUACACUACAUCUGAGAUGGAGACCUUUCCUCUGCUGCUGCUCAGCCUGGGCCUGGUUCUUGCAGAAGCAUCAGAAAGCACAAUGAAGAUAAUUAAAGAAGAAUUUACAGACGAAGAGAUGCAAUAUGACAUGGCAAAAAGUGGCCAAGAA